This 186-nucleotide microRNA precursor is filed under the name Oryza brachyantha (malo sina). Its description in RNAcentral is "MIR812 microRNA precursor family". It matches the Rfam family "MIR812 microRNA precursor family". Lineage: Eukaryota; Viridiplantae; Streptophyta; Magnoliopsida; Poales; Poaceae. The record is from Rfam by way of RNAcentral.
AACAAAUCAACUUUUCAGUUUUUAGAUACAAUGUUUAACUCUUCGUCUUAUUCAAAAAAAAUUUACGAUUAAUAAUUUUAUUUUUAUUAGAUGAUAAAACAUGAAUAGUACUUUAUGUGUGACUAAUUGUUUAAAAAUUUCUUGAAAAUUUUUUAAAUAAGACGUCAAAUGCUCGACACAAAAACC